Molecule: long non-coding RNA, 773 nt
Organism: Gorilla gorilla gorilla (western lowland gorilla)
Lineage: Eukaryota; Metazoa; Chordata; Mammalia; Primates; Hominidae
Exons: 4
Source: RefSeq, a predicted model, not a curated record
CAGGUCAGUCCAGUUUGGCUUCAGGUUCUAUUCUUCAAUACGUCCACUUAAUUCUGGACUCAACUUUCUCACUCUGACAAUUUCAGCCAACAAAUUCCUAGAAUAUGUUAUCUUGCAAAAGAAAGUGACAACUAUGACAUCUCAGUCCUUGAAGAGACCUGGUUAUCUUGCAACUGGACAAGGUUGGAUGCUGAAAACAGAAAGUUGUUUGAAAAUCUUUAGACCACCAGAAGGCCAGCUCCAACUCACCCUGACUACUGCUCUCAUCCUCUACUUAAGCUCAUUUGCUUCAAUCACCUGGCUUAUAUGGAGAAGGACACAAAACAACAUUUGGCGUCACUCAACUCCAGUGAUAAAAGUUAUUCCCUAAACCCCAGCUGAAUGGAUUCUAUUGGUCUGAAGGAUGGACAGAUGAGACUAUAAUGCACAGGAAGACAUGAAUACACGGAACUACUAAUUCAGCAUUACUUUCAGAAAUGACAGAAACAUAUAACAGGGCAAAAAAAUGUGAAGAAAGUGUUUAUGCUGCCAGUAUUGUAAUCACAGUGUAUUCAAGAACUCCACUGAUGUUUUAUAGAAUCCAGAUUUAUGAAGCCUGGAGAUUCACCAUAAACCUUAGCAUCAACUUGCUGAAGUGAACAGAAAUGACAACAGAUUUCUCCUCAACAGCAGGUCAAAGCUUUAAGUCAAAUGACUAAGAUGUCAAGUAUUAAAUCGACAACCAGUGAAUGGAUAAAAUAGUUUCCUUUCUGUUUAUACAGCAGGGCCUUCCA